Alosa alosa (allis shad) is the source of this 2831-nucleotide long non-coding RNA. RefSeq lists it as uncharacterized. The record is from RefSeq and is a predicted model, not a curated record. Lineage: Eukaryota; Metazoa; Chordata; Actinopteri; Clupeiformes; Clupeidae. The transcript has 3 exons.
AGUGGAGUUGAUGCAGUGAUUGCAGACUCACCACAUUGACGCGGCCAUUCCCGUUGGAUGAGGUGUGUGUGCGCAGGAGCUUCUGGACAGGAGAGGGAAGAGUGGUGAGAAAAGGCCUGAGAUGAGAGCCUUCUGAAACCCCCAGAUGCUGCCAAUGCCACCUGACUGCCUCUCUGAUGUCUCUGAUGACCUGGGAUGACGGUGGCUGCCUGUCAGCACAGCAUUUUGCAGGAGAAUCAAAGGAAAAAAAUAUCAAUGUGAAGAGUUCCUGCGGUGGCACACUCGCGGACAGUGGCUUCCUCUCGGGCAAUCACCUCCUCUAGGGUUUACACAGGCUGGCAGUCGCAGAAGGCUGGCGGACCUGCUUAUUACAGACACUAUUUGAACAGACAUUGUGUUUAUUCAGCUUGAGGAGAGGGGAAAAAACACAGUCCUUGACUGUAUUAUCAUCUUCCAUUUUCAUAUUGGCUGCAGGUUGAUUUGACACAGCCAUUGUCAUUGUGUUGAGUUUUUGGUGCUGACAUACCUCUCCAGGCUCGUAGACCAAUGCCAGUGCUGCUACAAAAGCAGCGACAUCCCCUCCUGUUGAAAUGAUUUUACACGUAAAAGGAGACCACUGUUGGGGAUGCUGUUUUUAUUUAUUUAUUUAUUUUUGUGGGGUGCCUCAACAGGAUGUGAAUCCCCCUCAGAGCUUCAGCAAGCACAAAGACAGACGGCUCAUAUCAGACUGGCACAGAUUGUGCCCACUGCUUCAAACAUGGAGCUGCGGGCACGGCAGAUGAGGUCGAAGGGGCUGUGUAGAGUGAGAGAUAGGCUGCUGCCACUGGGACUGUGGAAAAAGAAUGAGUGAAAGAGAGAGAGAGAGAGAGAACAGAUGUCUGUGAUUGUGUGUGUGUCUGUGUUUGGGAAAGGAGGUUAGAAUGGAUAAUAGACGUGUGUGUGUGUGUAGGAGAAAGGAGGUUAGAAUGGACGUGUGUGUGUGUGUGUGUGUUCGGUCCUCUCCCUCUGAUCAGGUAUUCCAUUAAUGAGUUGGGUCGUCUAGGCUCCGCUCGGUGGUGUAGUGAGAUCUGCAGAGACGGUGGGAGCACGUGGCAGGACUGGCAAUGCUCUGGUAAUGAGCACCACUGUGGCCCCAUCAGUCCGUCCCUCGGCCUCCCUGGGCCAGGGCACGCUCGGCCCACACCCCUCCCCCACAUCUCCUGACCACCUUGGUUUGCUGAGCCCUUCCACCUACUGUAGCACCGUAGCUCCUCAUCAGACUCGAUCAGUAGCCCACUCAGCCAAGUGACCCGGUCACUCACAGCUCACCCAGACAGACUCAACCAACCUUCUGCUGAACCUCCCCUUCCUCAUACUCCACUUCUAAACUUUAAACUGGGGGCAGUGUGGUUGGCCUGUGGAGGAUUUUCUUUUUGUCCCUACACUCCCGUGGCACUGAAAAGUAUUUCACUUUCAUUUAUGGAAUAUCAUAGUACGGCAUAUUUCAGGAUUUAUUUCAGCAUAGCAUGAGUCAUAGGUCACCACAAAUGUAAUGCAAUUUAAUGGUGUGUAAAUGCAGAUUUAAAGAUGGGGAACAAAGUCUUUUAUCCAAUUGUAAUGUUUUGGUUUGAAUCAUUCAAACAUGAACCAACAUGACAACAGAAAGUUCUGUCUUGUAGAUCUAUAUUUACAAGUCAGAAGUCUAAGUCUAUGUGACCAGGCUGUACCUUCAACAAUGUGUGUCUGAAGGAAGAAUGAAAAAAUCUAGUAGGUAGAUAAAUAAAUAAAUGGAAAACAGCGAGCAUUCUUGGCACACAGGCUGACCCGGAUGCUCCGCUCCUCACUUCAAUCACAACCAAUUCAAUCACACCAGUGCUCAGGUGGAACAACACAGCGUACGGAAUUCAGAUUAACGUGUCGUGAAACACGGCAUCACGUUAAUAUAUCCGUGAAACGCUAGCUCUCUCACGGGUUAUCGCUACGGCAAGGCUUGUGCUGCCACAGCUCAGGAGUUGUCAAAACACACUGGGUAUAUUUACAUUUAAAUCGUUUAGCGAACACGUUUGUCUUCCGUGACGGUAAAGGCGUACAUUGGCACCGUACAUGAUGUGUGCUCCCAGCAGGACCAUAAAGUGCCAUCUCACAUAUUAGAUGUGUUAAUGCCCUGUUCAGGCAGCUAACCUACACAGUGACAUACAUGCCCAUUUAGCCUACAUGAAAAAUGGAAUGGAAUACUUUAGUGUAGGUCGAUUUGUACUGCAUUAAUAUUGUAAGAUAUGUUACACAAGACAAUGUGAGUGUCAUGGGUAAGCAUGGAUAAUGCUACGGUCAUAAAAAAGUCAUAACUUCCUGCAAAAACACUAACCUGCAGUAAAUACAGCAAUUUCUUUGUUGUAGUAUUUGGUCAAUAGUUUCAGAUGAAUAGACCAUUGCCAAGCCACUUAUUCUGUUUUUCCAUUGCACGGCUCUAAAUGGGCUUCAUUCAGCUCACACAGCUGCUGUUUCUCAGAACGAGCGUUUGUGAACCUGAGAGGCGGAGGCAGACUCUUUGCCCUCGGUGGCUGAACCAAAGUCUCGUCUGGGGGUCUCGGCAUGUCCAGAGGAGGCCGCGCUGAAGGGCACCAAGGACACAGGCUGUCAUGUACACAGGCUGUCAUGUUCAGCAGUGCUAAUAAUGGUCAUACAGAGCUGCAGUUACUCCAUGUCUUCACAUGACUCCUAUGUUCAUACCAGACCCUUCAAGUUACAAAGUGCUGGUUAAUGUACCACAAAAUAGGACUUAGUGGGAUGAGAUCAUUAAAUAUAUAUAUAUAUCAUAUGAUAUACCAUUGAAAAAUGUAUCGGUACUGUUG